UAAUAGUUAAGAAUAGUUAAGUUCAGUUACCACCCCCACCCCCCACCCCCCACUCAGAGAGAGGAUUUCCAUUCAUUUAGCAGCUCUUGACCAAAUUAUUUGUGAAUUCAAAGAAUUUUCAUUUUUUCUUAGAUUUCUAAAUUUUAACUCUUUGAGUGAUAGAGCCCCAAAUUAAAUUCAUAUCAAAAAGUACUUACUGCAUACUUGUCAAGCAGGGUGCUGGGUGAGUGCUCAGCGUUGGCCU
This 244-nucleotide long non-coding RNA is filed under the name Bos taurus (domestic cattle). RNAcentral describes it as "long non-coding RNA NONBTAT001630". Lineage: Eukaryota; Metazoa; Chordata; Mammalia; Artiodactyla; Bovidae. The record is from RNAcentral.